RNAcentral lists this ribosomal RNA (713 nucleotides) under uncultured fungus. RNAcentral's name for it is "eukaryotic LSU rRNA". The stretch from base 157 to 311 matches the Rfam family "5.8S ribosomal RNA". Lineage: Eukaryota; Fungi. The record is from RNAcentral.
UGUGCACACUCUGUUUGCAUCCACUCACACCUGUGCACCUUCUGUAGUUCUAUGGUCUGGGAGACACCUGUCUUCCCUCCCGUGGUUCUACGUCUUUACACACACACUGUAACGUAGUCUUAUGGAAUGGAUGCAGCGUUUAACGCAAUACAAUACAACUUUCAGCAACGGAUCUCUUGGCUCUCGCAUCGAUGAAGAACGCAGCGAAAUGCGAUAAGUAAUGUGAAUUGCAGAAUUCAGUGAAUCAUCGAAUCUUUGAACGCACCUUGCGCCUUUUGGCUAUUCCAAAGGGCAUGCCUGUUUGAGUAUCAUGAACACCUCAACCCUCAUGGUUUGCCAUGAUGGGCUUGGACUUUGGAGGUUUUGCAGGCUUGUUGCCGGCUCCUCUCAAACAAAUUAGCUUACCAGUGUACGGUGGCAUCACAGGUGUGAUAACUAUCUGCGCUUGUGGUUGUCUGCCAGGUAACCUUCAACCUUGGAGGUUUGCUGGGGCUUACAAAUGUCUCUCCUCAGUGAAGACAGCUUUCUGAAUGUUUGAUCUCAAAUCAGGUAGGACUACCCGCUGAACUUAAGCAUAUCAAUAAGCGGAGGAAAAGAAACUAACAAGGAUUCCCCUAGUAACUGCGAGUGAAGCGGGAAGAGCUCAAAUUUAAAAUCUGGCGUGCCUCCGGUCGUCCGAGUUGUAGUCUGGAGAAGCGUUUUCCGUGCUGGAC